CCUACGGGUGGCAGCAGUGGGGGAUAUUGCACAAUGGGGGAAACCCUGAUGCAGCGACGCCGCGUGUGGGAAGACGGUCCUCUGGAUUGUAAACCACUGUCCCCAGGGACGAAGAUGACGGUACCUGGGGAGGAAGCUCCGGCUAACUACGUGCCAGCAGCCGCGGUAAUACGUAGGGAGCGAGCGUUGUCCGGAAUUACUGGGUGUAAAGGGAGCGUAGGCGGGACUGCAAGUUGGGUGUCAAAUCUACCGGCUCAACCGGUAGCCGCACUCAAAACUGCAGUUCUUGAGUGAAGUAGAGGCAGGCGGAAUUCCUAGGGUAGCGGGGAAAUGCGUAGAUAUUAGGAGGAACACCAGUGGCGAAGGCGGCCUGCUGGGCUUUUACUGACGCUGAGGCUCGAAAGUGUGGGGAGCGAACAGGAUUAGAUACCCUUGUAGUC
This 440-nucleotide ribosomal RNA is filed under the name uncultured bacterium. RNAcentral describes it as "partial 16S ribosomal RNA". It matches the Rfam family "Bacterial small subunit ribosomal RNA", at positions 338 to 795 of the family's 1533-position model. The record is from RNAcentral.